Molecule: transfer RNA, 78 nt
Filed under: Kiritimatiellia bacterium
Lineage: Bacteria; Pseudomonadati; Kiritimatiellota; Kiritimatiellia
Description: tRNA-Met
Rfam family: tRNA
About the family: Transfer RNA (tRNA) molecules are approximately 80 nucleotides in length. Their secondary structure includes four short double-helical elements and three loops (D, anti-codon, and T loops). Further hydrogen bonds mediate the characteristic L-shaped molecular structure. tRNAs have two regions of fundamental functional importance: the anti-codon, which is responsible for specific mRNA codon recognition, and the 3' end, to which the tRNAs corresponding amino acid is attached (by aminoacyl-tRNA synthetases). tRNAs cope with the degeneracy of the genetic code in two manners: having more than one tRNA (with a specific anti-codon) for a particular amino acid; and 'wobble' base-pairing, i.e. permitting non-standard base-pairing at the 3rd anti-codon position.
Source: RNAcentral
UGCGGGAUUGACUGGAGUGGUUCCAGCGGCAGUCUCAUAAGCUGUAGAACGUCAGUUCGAAUCCGGCUCCCGCAACCA